UGGAUGAGCUCUGACUCU
Molecule: small nuclear RNA, 18 nt
Filed under: Arabidopsis thaliana (thale cress)
Lineage: Eukaryota; Viridiplantae; Streptophyta; Magnoliopsida; Brassicales; Brassicaceae
Description: snRNA_14668
Source: RNAcentral